AAUAGAUACCCCGGUAGUCCACGCCGUAAACGAUGAGUGCUAGGUGUUAGGGGUUUCGAUACCCUUGGUGCCGAAGUUAACACAGUAAGCACUCCGCCUGGGGAGUACGGUCGCAAGACUGAAACUCAAAGGAAUUGACGGGGACCCGCACAAGCAGUGGAGUAUGUGGUUUAAUUCGAAGCAACGCGAAGAACCUUACCAGGUCUUGACAUCCAACUAACGAGGCAGAGAUGCGUUAGGUGCCCUUCGGGGAAAGUUGAGACAGGUGGUGCAUGGUUGUCGUCAGCUCGUGUCGUGAGAUGUUGGGUUAAGUCCCGCAACGAGCGCAACCCUUGACUUUAGUUGCCAGCAGGUAAGGCUGGGCACUCUAGAGUGACUGCCGGUGACAAACCGGAGGAAGGUGGGGAUGACGUCAAAUCAUCAUGCCCCUUAUGACCUGGGCUACACACGUACUACAAUGGCCGGUACAACGGGAAGCGAAGCCGCGAGGUGGAGCCAAUCCCAGCAAAGCCGGUCUCAGUUCGGAUUGCAGG
This 533-nucleotide ribosomal RNA is filed under the name uncultured bacterium. RNAcentral's name for it is "bacterial SSU rRNA". It matches the Rfam family "Bacterial small subunit ribosomal RNA", at positions 777 to 1304 of the family's 1533-position model. The record is from RNAcentral.